CAAACUCCGAAUGCCGAUGAGCAGUAUCCGGGAGUCAGACAGUGCGAGAUAAGUUGCAUUGUCGAGAGGGAAAGAGCCCAGAUCGCCGUCUAAGGUCCCAAAGUUCGAUCUAAGUGUCAAAGGAUGUGGGAGCGCAUUGACAACCAGGAGGUUGGCUUAGAAGCAGCCAUCUUUUAAAGAAAGCGUAAUAGCUCACUGGUCAAGCGAACCUGCGCCGAAAAUAUAACGGGGCUCAAGAUCGACACCGAAGACGCGGGCUUCUUAGGAAGCGGUAGAGGAGUACUCUGACGCAGAUACACGCUGGACGGAAACGACCGGUACCGGGCGUCAGAGGAGCUUAUGCAGGCAUGAGUAGCGAUAAACCGAGUGAGAAACUCGGUCGCCGUAAGUCCAAGGUUUCCUGGGGUAGGAUAAUCCUCCCAAGGGUGAGCCGGUCCCUAAGUCGAGGCCGCGAGGCGUAGAUGAUGGAAAGCAGGUUAAUAUUCCUGCGCCAGACAGGGUGGCAUUGAAGUGAGCGGGGACGGAGUAGGAUAGCUGAGCACCGUGAAUGGAUCGGUGUUUAAGCCUGUAGGUGUUUCCCGUAGGAGUCGAUAGACACAAACGCGGGGAAAUGUAGCCGAGAGGUGAUGAGGCGGUUCUUCGGAGCCGAAACUCAGUGAUUCCAGACUUCCAAGAAAAGCCGCGCACAGAGCCUCUUGUUUGACCGUACUGCAAACCGACUCAGGUGGACGGGAAGAAUAUUCCAAGGCGCGUGAGAGAACCCUGGUUAAGGAACUCGGCAAAUUGACACCGUAACUUCGGGAGAAGGUGUGCCUUUGCGCGUGAAGGAGAACAUCCGGAGCGUGCGGAGGUCGCAGAGAAUCGGGGGUUGUGACUGUUUACUAAAAACCUAGCACUCUGCGAAGUCGCAAGACGACGUAUAGGGUGUGAUGCCUGCCCGGUGCUGGAAGGUUAAGGGGAAUUGUCAGCGCAAGCGAAGCAAUGAACCGAAGCCCCAGUAAACGGCGGCCGUAACUAUAACGGUCCUAAGGUAGCGAAAUUCCUUGUCGGGUAAGUUCCGACCUGCACGAAUGGCAUAACAACAUCCCCGCUGUCUCGACCAGGGACUCAGCGAAAUUGUAUUGGGGGUGAAGAUACCCUCUACCCGUGGCAAGACGGAAAGACCCCAUGAACCUUUACUGCAACUUGGCAGUGAAUUUCGGGGCAAUCUGCGUAGGAUAGGUGGGAGACUUUGAUGUCGGGCUUCCGGGUUCGGCGGAGUCACCGUUGAAAUACCACCCUGAUUGCUCUGGGAUUCUAACCUGCGUCCGUCAUCCGGACGAGGGACACUGCCUGGUGGGCAGUUUGACUGGGGCGGUCGCCUCCAAAAACGUAACGGAGGCGUGCGAAGGUUCCCUCAGGUUGAUUGGAAACCAACCGUAGAGUGCAAACGCACAAGGGAGCUUAACUGUGAGACCGACAGGUCGAACAGGUGCGAAAGCAGGCGUUAGUGAUCCGGUGGUCCCGCAUGGAAGGGCCAUCGCUCAUCGGAUAAAAGGUACUCUGGGGAUAACAGGCUGAUCGCGCCUGAGAGUUCACAUCGGCGGCGCGGUUUGGCACCUCGAUGUCGGCCCAUCGCAUCCUGGGGCUGGAGCAGGUCCCAAGGGUUCGGCUGUUCGCCGAUUAAAGCGGUACGCGAGCUGGGUUUAAAACGUCGUGAGACAGUUUGGUCCCUAUCUGCC
This 1721-nucleotide ribosomal RNA is filed under the name activated sludge metagenome. Its description in RNAcentral is "bacterial LSU rRNA". It matches the Rfam family "Bacterial large subunit ribosomal RNA", at positions 950 to 2646 of the family's 2925-position model. The record is from RNAcentral.